RNAcentral lists this ribosomal RNA (328 nucleotides) under uncultured eukaryote. RNAcentral describes it as "partial 18S ribosomal RNA". It matches the Rfam family "Eukaryotic small subunit ribosomal RNA", at positions 1470 to 1796 of the family's 1831-position model. The record is from RNAcentral.
CCCUUAGACGUUCUGGGCCGCAUGCGCGCUACACUGACGGAGCCAGCGAGUAUAAACCUUGGCCGAGAGGUCUGGGAAAUCUUGUGAAACUCCGUCGUGCUGGGGAUAGAGCAUUGUAAUUAUUGCUCUUCAACGAGGAAUUCCUAGUAAGCGCAAGUCAUCAGCUUGCGUUGAUUACGUCCCUGCCCUUUGUACACACCGCCCGUCGCUACUACCGAUUGAAUGGCUUAGUGAGGCUUCCGGAUUGGUUUAGAGAAGGGGGCAACUCCAUCUUGGAACCGAGAAGCUAGUCAAACUUGGUCAUUUAGAGGAAGUAAAAGUCGUAACA